UGCAAAAUUUGAUCAAAAACUCCCUUAGUUGAAGAGAAAACCCAACUAAAAGUUCCUCACACAAAUCCUUCAUCCUAUUUCCCUUAAGAAGUUUCCUUUUGUGAAAGAAGUCCAAGCUUGAUUUCAAGACCAAAAUCUUCACCUCACCUUCUGAUUUCCUUAAGUAUUGAGUAGAUGCUUGGGGAAACGGGAUGAACCUACUAGAUAAAAUAAUAUUUUUCUACUACUAUUUCUAGUGAAUACCUGUACUGAUUCGAAUUUUGCUUAACUUUGGUUAUGUAAAUAUAUUACCGAUAUUAGUUUUCUAAUAAAAGUACUAUUCAAACAUG
Rosa rugosa (rugosa rose) is the source of this 329-nucleotide long non-coding RNA. RefSeq lists it as uncharacterized. The record is from RefSeq and is a predicted model, not a curated record. NCBI's taxonomy places the organism in Eukaryota, Viridiplantae, Streptophyta, Magnoliopsida, Rosales, Rosaceae. The transcript has 2 exons.